This 397-nucleotide ribosomal RNA is filed under the name uncultured bacterium. RNAcentral's name for it is "partial 16S ribosomal RNA". It matches the Rfam family "Bacterial small subunit ribosomal RNA", at positions 523 to 918 of the family's 1533-position model. The record is from RNAcentral.
AUACGUAGGGGGCGAGCGUUGUCCGGAAUGAUUGGGCGUAAAGGGCGCGUAGGCGGCGCGGUAAGUCUGGAGUGAAAGUCCUGCUUUCAAGGUGGGAAUUGCUUUGGAUACUGCCGCGCUUGAGUGCAGGAGAGGUUAUCGGAAUUCCCGGUGUAGCGGUGAAAUGCGUAGAGAUCGGGAGGAACACCAGUGGCGAAGGCGGGUAACUGGACUGCAACUGACGCUGAGGCGCGAAAGUGUGGGGAGCAAACAGGAUUAGAUACCCUGGUAGUCCACACUGUAAACGAUGAAUGCUAGGUGUAAGAGGUAUCGACCCCUUUUGUGCCGCAGUCAACACAAUAAGCAUUCCGCCUGGGGAGUACGGCCGCAAGGUUGAAACUCAAAGGAAUUGGCGGGG